RNAcentral lists this ribosomal RNA (320 nucleotides) under Crocosphaera watsonii WH 8501. Its description in RNAcentral is "bacterial SSU rRNA". It matches the Rfam family "Bacterial small subunit ribosomal RNA", at positions 409 to 744 of the family's 1533-position model. The record is from RNAcentral. Lineage: Bacteria; Bacillati; Cyanobacteriota; Cyanophyceae; Chroococcales; Aphanothecaceae.
GGAAGGCCUUUGGGUUGUAAACCUCUUUUCUCAGGGAAGAAGAUCUGACGGUACCUGAGGAAUAAGCAUCGGCUAACUCCGUGCCAGCAGCCGCGGUAAUACGGAGGAUGCAAGCGUUAUCCGGAAUUAUUGGGCGUAAAGCGUCCGCAGGUGGUCUUUCAAGUCUGCUGUCAAAGACCAGAGCUUAGCUCUGGGCAGGCGGUGGAAACUGAGAGACUAGAGUUCGGUAGGGGUAGCGGGAAUUCCCAGUGUAGCGGUGAAAUGCGUAGAUAUUGGGAAGAACAUCGGUGGCGAAGGCGUGCUACUGGACCGAAACUGAC